CCGCGGUAUCCUGACCGUGCUAAGGUAGCAUAAUCAUUUGCCUCUUAAUUAGUGGCUAGUAUGAAUGGAAAAACGAAAUUUUAGCUGUCUCUACAAAACCAAUAAAAAUUAAUAUUCAGGUGAAGAAGCCUGAAUCACAUUAAAGGACAAAAAGACCCUGCAGAGCCUAAUUAUAAUAUAUUAAUUUACAAUAAUACUAAACUUUAAACCUAAUAAUAAAAUCUAGUUGGGGCAACUAAGGAACAUCAAAACCCUCCUUAAAAAAAAGACAUAUAAGUCUAACAAAGAUCCACUAAACGUGAAAAUAAGCAAAGGCUACCUCAGGGAUAACAGGCUAAUCCUCCUUAAGAGCUCAAAUUGACAGGAGGGGUUGGCACCUCGAUGUUGGCUUAGGACCCCCAUGGGCGCAGCCGCCCAUAAAGGUAGGUUUGUUCAACCUUUAAAAUCCUACGUGAUC
This 457-nucleotide ribosomal RNA is filed under the name Cirrophorus branchiatus. RNAcentral's name for it is "partial 16S ribosomal RNA". It matches the Rfam family "Bacterial large subunit ribosomal RNA", at positions 1931 to 2605 of the family's 2925-position model. Lineage: Eukaryota; Metazoa; Annelida; Polychaeta; Paraonidae. The record is from RNAcentral.